Molecule: transfer RNA, 71 nt
Filed under: Rhodanobacter denitrificans
Lineage: Bacteria; Pseudomonadati; Pseudomonadota; Gammaproteobacteria; Lysobacterales; Rhodanobacteraceae
Description: tRNA-Arg
Rfam family: tRNA
About the family: Transfer RNA (tRNA) molecules are approximately 80 nucleotides in length. Their secondary structure includes four short double-helical elements and three loops (D, anti-codon, and T loops). Further hydrogen bonds mediate the characteristic L-shaped molecular structure. tRNAs have two regions of fundamental functional importance: the anti-codon, which is responsible for specific mRNA codon recognition, and the 3' end, to which the tRNAs corresponding amino acid is attached (by aminoacyl-tRNA synthetases). tRNAs cope with the degeneracy of the genetic code in two manners: having more than one tRNA (with a specific anti-codon) for a particular amino acid; and 'wobble' base-pairing, i.e. permitting non-standard base-pairing at the 3rd anti-codon position.
Source: RNAcentral
ACGACGUUAGCUCAAUCGGUAGAGCAGCGAGUACGUCUCGCGGGUAGCCGGUUCGAUUCCGGCACGUCAUU